GGGCGGUUGGUACCUUCCAGUGGACUCACCACCCGCAGGAAGGUUUAGGUACUGCGCGCGCGUACGUCGGCCACUUUGCGUCGCCAACGGACCGUUAGUUCCUUGUACUGCUUCAUACUUUAUCUGACCUUUACUCAACGCAUAGGUUUGAGGGAACGACCUUGGGCAGUUACUUAGGUUUUGGUGCAGAUGAAAUGGAAGAUCCUGAAGAACACGUGGAGGAUUGUGCAGCAGGAGUGGAAAGCUUUGAAGGUCACACGACGAGAAGGAUAUGAAGGGUUUGGUAUGUGGCUAAAGCUUAGAAGAAAGGCAUAUUUGUAUAAACACAAUACGCUGCAAAACCUUUGUUGACCUUACAAGCACCUAACUGGUCCAGCACCAGUAGUUUGAGAUUACACAAAUAAUAAUAAACAUGUCCAUUGUAACCAUAGAUUUUUUUAUUACACAAUAAAAACUACCUCUCUUACUGUACAUUUUGCAAAAUAAUUAACUAAAACAGUACAAAUGUUGAGCUAAAACUCUUUUUAACUCUUACAUUUACCACCUCACCAUAUCUAGAUCUGACAAAAGUGUUGAUAUUUUACCUCCCUGCAAACCAUGACACGUCUUUAUGAUUUUCUCCCCCGCGCUUAGGCCGGUGAUCGUCAA
Long non-coding RNA from Cynoglossus semilaevis (tongue sole), 648 nucleotides. RefSeq lists it as uncharacterized. Lineage: Eukaryota; Metazoa; Chordata; Actinopteri; Pleuronectiformes; Cynoglossidae. The record is from RefSeq and is a predicted model, not a curated record. The transcript is spliced from 2 exons.